UUUCAAUUUCCAACUAUAAACAAAUUGGUGCAUUAGACAUCGACGGUGGCAAAGCGGUGGUGAAGACAAGUGGCGUUGAGUUUGAGUUAUUAGAGUCCUUGCAACUUACAAAUAUUUCAGAGGUGAAGCUCCAAACAGGGGAAUUCACCAAAGGAUUAAGGAAGGUUGCAAAUUUGACGAUUGGCGGAUGUGAGGAGUUGACAUUUUCACUGAAGAAUGAGGAUAGAGUAUUGCAACACUUGAUUUCUCUUGAUCGUUUGGUUAUUGAAGGCAACUCUUCCCUCCUUGAAAAGAUGGGAAAAGAAGCAGAGGAGUUGCUGCAAUUGCAAAUAUUGACUU
This 339-nucleotide long non-coding RNA is filed under the name Prunus dulcis (almond). Its description in RNAcentral is "sRNA ncRNA". Lineage: Eukaryota; Viridiplantae; Streptophyta; Magnoliopsida; Rosales; Rosaceae. The record is from RNAcentral.